Molecule: non-coding RNA, 1276 nt
Organism: Musa acuminata subsp. malaccensis (wild Malaysian banana)
Lineage: Eukaryota; Viridiplantae; Streptophyta; Magnoliopsida; Zingiberales; Musaceae
Source: RefSeq, a predicted model, not a curated record
GGGGGAAUGCAAUGUCGCAACGCGUGCAACCCCGAGCGAGCACUGCACACCCACAUGACGCCCUUCGCCGUGGGCGAGGUCAAGCCACAGCGGCCAACUUGGCGCAAGAAACAAGGGCCGCGUCACGGAGUGCAGCUCCUGCUCGAUCACCACCCCUUUGCUUUCCUGCACAUGAAGCCCUUGUGACCUAAGGGACCUCGGCCACGGACGGACACAUGCACGGCAGUCUAGGCACUGUGACUUCGUCUCUUUCUUUGACUCCCAUGGACGUCAGAACGCCAUCGUCCCCGUUCCAUUAGGUCUUAUUCCUCAUAUCAGUGCAUGUUUUCUUGUUUGGAGCACUUCCAUGGCACCAUCCAACCAAAGCUUUGAAUGAUCCCUGUGAGUCCAGGAGAAACAACAGAUUCUGUCGGAUUCCAACGUACGAUUUAGAUUUCACCGGACCCGUUUGAUUGUGUGAAUGUUGGAAGUUGAUGUCUAUUCUUCUUUUGUUCAGGCAAUAGACGAUUACAUGGUUGUAGGCAUCUGUGUUGUAGACUCGAGCAUCCAUACCCGCUCAACAUGUAUCCAUCAGCCUUUCCAUGUCCUUCCUAAUCUUUCAUUCCAGUUUUCAAGAUAAAAAAAGGAUGGUAGCUCCUGAAAUGUUCUUCCACUCGAAUCACUUUGGAAAAUGAAAACCAUGACACUUGUAGCUACAGAAUUAGCUGGAGAAACAUUCUCAAAUUCACUGUGCAAACUACUGGCAAGCAAGAUUGUCUGGUUAAUGAUGUCGGGAGCCUUAAUUUUGCAGGGAAGAUAGAUGUUUGCAGUGUGACAGCUGAGCUCCAAAGUAAGGCAAUAAAGCAGAGUCAAAAGAGGAGGCAUUAUUUAUGCAGUGAGUUUCAAAUUUUGACAAACACUUGAUGUGCACCAGCUAUCAGACUAUACCAAUCACUAAUCUGGUCUUCAGGUUGCUCAGGUCACUGUACUUACUGUCAUUUUACUUUCUCCCUGUUCCUCUAUCAAGAAUUAACUUGUGAACAUGCAUAUCUCUGAAAUCAUGACAUGUAAGAGGAAAUGAAACGUAGUUAGUAAGGGUAAGAAAGGUGACUUUUCUGCAAGUAUGCCAUGGUAUGUCACAUCAAUUCUUAUGUUCAAGCUUAGUGGUCAAAUUGUAUAGGAGCAGAAUUUACUAUCUCAGUGUUUUAUACCAUAAAAUUCUACAUUUGCUUUCUAGAUGGAAACCUACAGGUUAAGUCAGAUUAGGAACAAAACCCAGACAGACUUGUGAGGGAAC